Molecule: non-coding RNA, 72 nt
Organism: Phrynosoma platyrhinos (Desert horned lizard)
Lineage: Eukaryota; Metazoa; Chordata; Lepidosauria; Squamata; Phrynosomatidae
Source: the annotation of a GenBank genome assembly
GCCAGAGUGGUGUAGUAGUCUGAGCAUUGGACUAUGACUCCGGCAACCAGGGUUCAAAUCCCCACUUGGCCA